GAUGAACGCUGGCGGCGUGCCUAAUACAUGCAAGUCGAACGCUGGAGAUCUAGCUUGCUAGAUCGAAGGAGUGGCGAACGGGUGAGUAAUACAUAAGCAACCUACCCACGAAGACUGGGAUAAUCUCUGGAAACGGGGACUAAUACCGGAUAGGUAAUCGGAAGGCAUCUUCUGGUUAUUAAAGGUUAAAAACACUGGUGGAUGGGCUUAUGGCGCAUUAGUUAGUUGGUGAGGUAACGGCCCACCAAGACGAUGAUGCGUAGCCGGCCUGAGAGGGUGAACGGCCACAUUGGGACUGAGACACGGCCCAGACUCCUACGGGAGGCAGCAGUAGGGAAUUUUCGGCAAUGGGGGCAACCCUGACCGAGCAACGCCGCGUGAGUGAAGACGGCCUUCGGGUUGUAAAGCUCUGUUGUAAGGGAAGAACGGUAGAUAGAGAAUAUCUAAGUGACGGUAUCUUACCAGAAAGCCACGGCUAACUACGUG
This 486-nucleotide ribosomal RNA is filed under the name uncultured bacterium. RNAcentral describes it as "partial 16S ribosomal RNA". It matches the Rfam family "Bacterial small subunit ribosomal RNA", at positions 28 to 507 of the family's 1533-position model. The record is from RNAcentral.